Molecule: non-coding RNA, 125 nt
Organism: Triticum aestivum (bread wheat)
Lineage: Eukaryota; Viridiplantae; Streptophyta; Magnoliopsida; Poales; Poaceae
Source: Rfam
UAGGUACUCCCUUCGUCCGGAAAUACUUGUCGAAAAAAUGCAUAAGAAUGAACGUAUCUAGAACUAAAAUAUGUCUAGAUACAUUCAUUUUUCGGACAAAUAUUUCCGGACAGAGGAAGUACAUG